AUUAAACGCUGGCGGCAUGCCUUACACAUGCAAGUCGAACGGCAGCACGGGAGCGAUCCUGGUGGCGAGUGGCGAACGGGUGAGUAAAGCAUCGGAACGUGCCCUGGAAUGGGGGAUAACGUAGCGAAAGUUACGCUAAUACCGCAUAUUCUGUGAGCAGGAAAGCAGGGGAUCUUCGGACCUUGCGUUUCAGGAGCGGCCGAUGUCGGAUUAGCUAGUUGGUGGGGUAAAGGCCUACCAAGGCGACGAUCCGUAGCGGGUCUGAGAGGAUGAUCCGCCACACUGGAACUGAGACACGGUCCAGACUCCUACGGGAGGCAGCAGUGGGGAAUUUUGGACAAUGGGCGCAAGCCUGAUCCAGCCAUGCCGCGUGAGUGAAGAAGGCCUUCGGGUUGUAAAGCUCUUUCGGCCGGAAAGAAAUCGCAUGGGCGAAUACCCUGUGUGGAUGACGGUACCGGCAUAAGAAGCACCGGCUAACUACGUG
This 484-nucleotide ribosomal RNA is filed under the name uncultured organism. RNAcentral describes it as "bacterial SSU rRNA". It matches the Rfam family "Bacterial small subunit ribosomal RNA", at positions 30 to 507 of the family's 1533-position model. The record is from RNAcentral.